CCUGGUGGGCAUGGUGGCAUACACUCGUAUUACUGGGGAGGCUGGGGCUGAUGCAUCUCUCGAGCUUAGGUCUCCUGGACUGUAGUGAGCUAAAGACAAUCAGGUUUUCACACUAUGAACCAAUUAUGGUGAGCCCUCUGGAGCAGAAGAGCACAAGGCUACCUAAGGAGGGGUGGAUUGAUCCAGGUUGGAAACAGAGCAGGUCAAAGUUCCCAUGUCAAUUAUAGUGGGAUUGACCCAUGAGUAGUAGCUGUCCUUCUAGCCUGGGAAAGAUAGGGAGACCAAGUCUUU
Molecule: signal recognition particle RNA, 291 nt
Filed under: Phascolarctos cinereus (koala)
Lineage: Eukaryota; Metazoa; Chordata; Mammalia; Diprotodontia; Phascolarctidae
Description: Metazoan signal recognition particle RNA (ENSPCIG00000012843.2)
Rfam family: Metazoan signal recognition particle RNA
About the family: The signal recognition particle (SRP) is a universally conserved ribonucleoprotein. It is involved in the co-translational targeting of proteins to membranes. The eukaryotic SRP consists of a 300-nucleotide 7S RNA and six proteins: SRPs 72, 68, 54, 19, 14, and 9.
Source: RNAcentral